This 654-nucleotide ribosomal RNA is filed under the name Triticum aestivum (bread wheat). RNAcentral describes it as "partial small subunit ribosomal RNA". Lineage: Eukaryota; Viridiplantae; Streptophyta; Magnoliopsida; Poales; Poaceae. The record is from RNAcentral.
AUGAACAUCAAACGUAAACAUGUUGAGCUAGACACUCGAUGCCCAGUGUGUAUGCGGCUGGAUGAGGACGGAGGCCAUAUUUUUCUUCGGUGCAAAUUUGUCAAACAGGUGUGGCGGCAAAUGAAUUUGGAAGAGAUCAGAUUGCAGCUCAUGGAAAAACCAAAUGCCGUAGUUGUCGUUGAGGCAGUCUGUUCCUUAUCAGCUGAAGUUCAGUGUCAGGUGGCCGUUUUGUUGUGGGAUUGCUGGACGACCCGCAAUAAAAUUUAUGCCGGUGAGAAAGCUUGGUCUGCAAGCGAGGUUACCUCUAUGGUCCAAAGGCACCUGCUAGAUUUUGCUCCUGUUGUCCUUCCACAGAUCCGAAUUGAUACUCCUGCUACAAGAUGGGAACCUCCAAGAAGGGACUUUGUCAAAGUUAAUUUCGAUGCGGCUUUUAAGCAGGAUGCACGCGAUGGGGCGUACGGAUAUGUUCUGCGCUCUGACGAGGGCGAGCUUAUUGCGGCAGGGGCGGGAAAGUUUACGCAUGUCAAAAAUGCUCUACAGGCUGAAGCAGAGGCGUGUCUAGCUGCAAUCGAGGGGGCGAGCAAUGCUGGUGUUCAUCAUAUCAUGCUGGAGUCCGAUUCUCUGUCCUUGGUACAAGCUCUCCCACUCUGGUGA